AGUGAACGCUGGCGGUAGGCCUAACACAUGCAAGUCGAACGGCAGCACAGUAAGAGCUUGCUCUUACGGGUGGCGAGUGGCGGACGGGUGAGGAAUACAUCGGAAUCUACUUUUUCGUGGGGGAUAACGUAGGGAAACUUACGCUAAUACCGCAUACGACCUACGGGUGAAAGCAGGGGAUCUUCGGACCUUGCGCGAUUGAAUGAGCCGAUGUCGGAUUAGCUAGUUGGCGGGGUAAAGGCCCACCAAGGCGACGAUCCGUAGCUGGUCUGAGAGGAUGAUCAGCCACACUGGGACUGAGACACGGUCCAGACUCCUACGGGAGGCAGCAGUGGGGAAUAUUGGACAAUGGGCGCAUGCCUGAUCCAGCCAUACCGCGUGGGUGAAGAAGGCCUUCGGGUUGUUAAGCCCUUUUGUUGGGAAAGAAAAGCAGCAGGUUAAUACCCCGCUGUUCUGACGGUACCCAAAGAAUAAGCACCGGCUAACUUCGUG
This 492-nucleotide ribosomal RNA is filed under the name uncultured bacterium. RNAcentral's name for it is "partial 16S ribosomal RNA". It matches the Rfam family "Bacterial small subunit ribosomal RNA", at positions 29 to 507 of the family's 1533-position model. The record is from RNAcentral.